CCUACGGGAGGCAGCAGUGAGGAAUAUUGGUCAAUGGGCGGAAGCCUGAACCAGCCAAGUCGCGUGAGGGAAGACUGCCCUAUGGGUUGUAAACCUCUUUUGUCAGGGAGCAACGCCGGCUACGUGUAGCCGGACUGAGAGCACCUGACGAAAAAGCAGCGGCUAACUCCGGGACAGCAGCCGCGGUAAUACGGAGGAUGCGAGCGGAAUCCGGAUUUAUUGGGUUUAAAGGGUGGGUAGGCGGAAUGCCAAGUCAGCGGUAAAAUCGCGGGGCUAAAUCUCGCUCCGCCGUUGAAACUGGCGUUCUUGAGUGGGCGAGAGGUAUGCGGAAUGCGUGGUGUAGCGGUGAAAUGCAUAGAUAUCACGCAGAACUCCGAUUGCGAAGGCAGCAUACCGGCGCCCAACUGACGCUGAAGCACGAAAGCGUGGGUAUCGAACAGGAUUAGAUACCCUAGUAGUC
RNAcentral lists this ribosomal RNA (460 nucleotides) under uncultured bacterium. RNAcentral's name for it is "partial 16S ribosomal RNA". It matches the Rfam family "Bacterial small subunit ribosomal RNA", at positions 338 to 795 of the family's 1533-position model. The record is from RNAcentral.